AAACGUGGGAGGCAAGCGUUAUCCGGAAUUACUGGGCGUAAAGCGCAUGCAGGCGGUUGUUUAAGUCAGACGUGAAAGCUCCUGGCUCAACUAGGAGAGGUCGUUUGAAACUGGACAACUUGAGGAUGGUAGAGGAGAGUGGAAUUCCCGGUGUAGUGGUGAAAUGCGUAGAUAUCGGGAGGAACACCAGUGGCGAAAGCGGCUCUCUGGGCCAUAACUGACGCUCAGAUGCGAAAGCUAGGGGAGAGAACGGGAUUAGAAACCCCAGUAGUCC
RNAcentral lists this ribosomal RNA (274 nucleotides) under uncultured bacterium. RNAcentral describes it as "partial 16S ribosomal RNA". It matches the Rfam family "Bacterial small subunit ribosomal RNA", at positions 523 to 796 of the family's 1533-position model. The record is from RNAcentral.